UGGGGAAUAUUGCACAAUGGUGGGAACUCUGAUGCAGCGACGCCGCGUGAACGAAGAAGGCUUUCGAGUCGUAAAGUUCUUUUAUAUGGGAAGAUAAUGACGGUACCAUAAGAAAAAGCCCCGGCUAACUACGUGCCAGCAGCCGCGGUAAUACGUAGGGGGCUAGCGUUGUCCGGAAUCACUGGGCGUAAAGGGUUCGCAGGCGGAAAUGCAAGUCAGGUGUAAAAGGCAGUAGCUUAACUACUGUAAGCAUUUGAAACUGCAUAUCUUGAGAAGAGUAGAGGUAAGUGGAAUUUUUAGUGUAGCGGUGAAAUGCGUAGAUAUUAAAAAGAAUACCGGUGGCGAAGGCGACUUACUGGGCUCAUUCUGACGCUGAGGAACGAAAGCGUGGGUAGCAAACAGG
Molecule: ribosomal RNA, 403 nt
Filed under: bacterium
Lineage: Bacteria
Also listed under: 2 other names
Description: partial 16S ribosomal RNA
Rfam family: Bacterial small subunit ribosomal RNA
Source: RNAcentral